RNAcentral lists this ribosomal RNA (360 nucleotides) under Triticum aestivum (bread wheat). RNAcentral describes it as "partial small subunit ribosomal RNA". Lineage: Eukaryota; Viridiplantae; Streptophyta; Magnoliopsida; Poales; Poaceae. The record is from RNAcentral.
AUGAAUAAUCCUUUUGUUUUCCCUUCUUUUUGGGGUUUGCAAGCAACAGUUUAUAUGAUGCUGAGUUUUUUUGCUUAUUAUAGUAGAAGUGAUGGAUUUGUACUAUUGUAUUUCUGGAAAUGCGUAUUCACAGAAUUGCAAUCUGAAGGAGCGAUGGAAGUGAAGAUUGCAUGCUUUUUCUUUAAGAUACCUAAUAGAUGGCAUAUUAUUUUCGCUUCAGAUUUAAGAGUGUUCGAUCUGCUACAUCGUGCAUUUGUUCAGUCUCAAAAUUUCAGUGUUAUUCCUAGCAUAUUCUCUAUUUCUCGGUAUUAUUCACACCACGUCAUUGGUGAAAGCCUACUGGAAAGAAUAAUUAAUUAA